ACCUGGUAGUGUGUUGUCAGACGUCGGGUGGGGUGAACGUCGCUCUCCCGCUCUCUCAGGCUUCAGUGGGCGUGUGGGUGUGAAGCGUGGGUGUGUGGGGGUGUUGGUCUUGAGUGUGGGUGUCACUAGCCGCCAAGACGAGGAGUAAACACACGCACAGACAGCCUCCAGCUCGUCCCUGAUCGCUAACAACUGCAAUAAUGGGUCGACAGGUUCACGGCGGCGCCAGCGAAGGUGCAGCCCCGCCCCCUCUGUCGCACUUGCCCGGGUCAAAGAGCAACAAGAGGGCGCCCGCUAAACUGCCCCGCGCCCCGCCCCACCCCAGUGCCCCGUGAAGGAGAUCGGGACGGAAGCUGGACUGGGUCGCGUGUGUGUGUGUACUUGUGUUGGUGUGUGUUGGUGUGGUGGUGUCUCGCGUGUGUCGGGUGCGUGGGCGGUAACUGGUGGGCACAUAGAGGUCUCUGCUCUGAGUCUCCGGCGUCAUGGUCCUUCUGUGGACGCAGCACGAGGGUGAGCGGGUGGAGCCCCAGCCCACAGACGACCACGUGCAGGAGGUGCGGAAGGACGGGGGCGUGAAUGGUGCCUGCAAACACCCGCACCCCCACCGCCCACCCCAGGGCAAGGACAAACUCACUGGCGACGCAGCAGGCAGUAAGGCAGGCACCAGCAGCACCACCGCCUCCCCACCAGGUCGCAGCAACACCCUGAGAAUCACGACGCCCUCAGAGAAACACGUGGUCACUCUCCGUCAAAUAUCCGAGGUCUUUGAUGCCACUAAGAGCAGCAUCACCUCCUCACCCACCUCGCUCUCCUCCUCUUUCUCCUCUCCCUCCUCCUCCACUGUGUCUCCCUGCAUCCCCUCGACCUCCAGCACUCCUCUAGGCACAGUGGUGGAGGUGGAGAGGGUGGAAGACGGCGGGAUCGGUGUGGAGAGCGUGGCUAAGGUGGAAAAGGUAUCGAAGGUGUCUACUCUUGGCCUCAACUCCCGCCUGUUGCUGGAGGAGGAGGAGCAGGACGGGGAGGAGAGUGCGGAGGCAGGCAAGAAGAAGAGGAGCCAGAAGAGGAAGUUUUACACGCUGCCAAGGAACUGGAGGAGCAAAGCAACGGACUUCAUUCUCACUAAAGGGAAUGAGAUUGAGGAGCUGGGCAGCGCCCAAGUGGAAACUCUCGAGCUGGGGAAGACGCUGUGUGAGUACUGCGCCAAGAAGUGCUCGGGGGAGGUGCUUCGCGUGCAGGAGAAGUACUUCCACAUCAACUGCUUCAAGUGUCACAGCUGCAAGAAGUCGCUAGCUCAGGGCGGUUUCUUCACGCGAGAGAAGGAUUACUACUGCACUGAAUGUUACCAGAAGAACUUCGGCCAGCGGUGCGCCACUUGCGGUCUCUACGUGGAGGGCGAGGUGGUGUCCGCCCUCGGGAACUCCUAUCAUCAAAAGUGCUUCACCUGUGCCCGUUGCAGACAGCCAUUCCCAACCGGGGAGCGUGUCACCUACACAGGGAAGGAGUGCCUGUGCCAGCGAUGCCUCCACAUUCCUGUUGUGGACUCCCAGUCACCCAGCCGCUCCCCCACCGCAGCCGGACCGAAAUGUGCCGGGUGCAAGGAAGAGCUGGUGGAGGGCCAAGCACUCAUUGCCCUGGACCAGCAGUGGCACAUCUGGUGCUUCAAGUGUGCAGUCUGCAGCACUGUCCUUCAUGGGGAGUAUAUGGGAAAGGACGGUCUCCCCUAUUGCGAGAAGGACUACCAGGCCCAGUUUGGGGUAAAGUGUGCCUACUGCAACCGUUACAUCAGCGGCAAGGUGCUGCAGGCAGGUGACAAUCACCACUUCCACCCAACGUGUGCCCGGUGCACCAAGUGUGGUGAUCCAUUUGGGGAUGGGGAAGAGAUGUAUUUGCAAGGCACUGCUAUUUGGCACCCCCGCUGUGGCCCCGGACCCACUGAAAAUGGCACAGUCCUGAAUGGCUCGCUGUCCAAUGGCCACCACAUUAACGGUGACCAGAAGGCUGAGAGGGAGCGAGACUUUGAUGGUAUGAGCUCCACUGCGUCAGAAACACAGUUUUCCCGUUCCCGCACACCAAGCCUUAAUGGAUCCUUCCGCUCCUAUAGUCCUUAUAACAGCCUGAACAGGAAGUUCUCAGGCCCUUACCGCACUUGCUCACCGGGCUUGAUCCUGAGGGAAUACAAGUCCUCGCAGAGCCCUAUUGACAUCACACGCAUCUACACCUACUCAUAUCUCACUGCGGAGCCUUCCCAAGGGUACCUCAAGCGCCCUCUGGACCCAUACGACCGUCCCCCACCUAAGUCGCCACAUUUCCACCGUCCACCAACUGAUAGCAGGAAGCUAUCACUGCCUAAGACCUCAAGCCGGCUGGGGAUGAAGGUGCUGGUGGAUCAGAUGCAGUCUGACACUCCAAGGCCCAAGUCCCCACACAUGAACAACGAGGAGCCAAUCAUCCUUUCCCAUUACCCCGGCGGCCGCAAGCCACAUCAAGGCGACGUGUCCCGCAUCGAACGAGACGACUUCCCCGCCCCGCCUUACCCCUACACCGACCCUGCUCCGGCCUCACGGGCAGAUGUUUCAGAGAGGCGGAGGAGAUGGUCAGGCAGCAACAAGGCUGUCAGCAUUGACGAGACUGACGAGGGGACCGAGCAGGAGGACGAGAGCUUGGUUGAGGAUCCUAAACUAAAAAGAGAAGAGGUUGAAUUAAGCAAGAUUGCAACGGGCAUUGGUAAAGUGUUCCUUCAACAAGUGAAGGAGAGGGAGAAGAUUCGUGCAUGGAAGGCCACUCACUUGGACCCUCGCAAUGCCUCCCGAACCCCAGCGGCCGACCGUGAACCGGGGAACAAACUGCGUUUCGGUUCAUCCCUAAAUGCUUCCCCUUCACGGAUGACAGACCACAGCCGCCCGUGGGGACCAGAAGAAGACGAGUUUGACAGGGGCUCCUCCUACCGUUGUUCCACGGGCAGGUCCUCCGCCACCAUUCCCUCUUAUAACGUUGUAUCAGCCCUCCGUGGAGAGCCUAAACCUGGUUACGGACUCAAGUCCUCCACUCUGCCAGCGGCUGGACGUAAUGGUGGCUCUGCUGGAAUGAUGUCGUCAGCUCCCUCAGGCAGCCUCCAAAGCCGGGCUACGGUUUUUCACCACGCAACACGUUCUACCGCCAGGGCCUUGGAUCCUAUUCUGCACUCCAUGGUGACUACAGUUUCUCCGGCCUAGGAGAGAAGACACAGAGCACUGAGUUCAGUAGCGCUCGCUCAGACGUUUCAGCAGGUUCGCUCACAGAAGCCGAUAGGAGUGCAUUGAACGCAGAGUUGUGUGCAUCCGCAACAUACAGUAGUGGCCUGCGUGGCUACUCUUCAUACUCCCCACAUCUGCGUCGUUCACUGCCCAACAUGCACCAUAU
This 3399-nucleotide unclassified non-coding RNA is filed under the name Portunus trituberculatus (swimming crab). Its description in RNAcentral is "actin-binding LIM protein 3-like, transcript variant X23". Lineage: Eukaryota; Metazoa; Arthropoda; Malacostraca; Decapoda; Portunidae. The record is from RNAcentral.